ANUGCAGUCGAACGAACUCUGGUAUUGAUUGGUGCUUGCAUCAUGAUUUACAUUUGAGUGAGUGGCGAACUGGUGAGUAACACGUGGGAAACCUGCCCAGAAGCGGGGGAUAACACCUGGAAACAGAUGCUAAUACCGCAUAACAACUUGGACCGCAUGGUCCGAGYUUGAAAGAUGGCUUCGGCUAUCACUUUUGGAUGGUCCCGCGGCGUAUUAGCUAGAUGGUGGGGUAACGGCUCACCAUGGCAAUGAUACGUAGCCGACCUGAGAGGGUAAUCGGCCACAUUGGGACUGAGACACGGCCCAAACUCCUACGGGAGGCAGCAGUAGGGAAUCUUCCACAAUGGACGAAAGUCUGAUGGAGCAACGCCGCGUGAGUGAAGAAGGGUUUCGGCUCGUAAAACUCUGUUGUUAAAGAAGAACAUAUCUGAGAGUAACUGUUCAGGUAUUGACGGUAUUUAACCAGAAAGCCACGGCUAACUACGUGCCAGCAGCCGCGGUAAUACGUAGGUGGCAAGCGUUGUCCGGAUUUAUUGGGCGUAAAGCGAGCGCAGGCGGUUUUUUAAGUCUGAUGUGAAAGCCUUCGGCUCAACCGAAGAAGUGCAUCGGAAACUGGGAAACUUGAGUGCAGAAGAGGACAGUGGAACUCCAUGUGUAGCGGUGAAAUGCGUAGAUAUAUGGAAGAACACCAGUGGCGAAGGCGGCUGUCUGGUCUGUAACUGACGCUGAGGCUCGAAAGUAUGGGUAGCAAACAGGAUUAGAUACCCUGGUAGUCCAUACCGUAAACGAUGAAUGCUAAGUGUUGGAGGGUUUCCGCCCUUCAGUGCUGCAGCUAACGCAUUAAGCAUUCCGCCUGGGGAGUACGGCCGCAAGGCUGAAACUCAAAGGAAUUGACGGGGGCCCGCACAAGCGGUGGAGCAUGUGGUUUAAUUCGAAGCUACGCGAAGAACCUUACCAGGUCUUGACAUACUAUGCAAAUCUAAGAGAUUAGACGUUCCCUUCGGGGACAUGGAUACAGGUGGUGCAUGGUUGUCGUCAGCUCUUGUCGUGAGAUGUUGGGUUAAGUCCCGCAACGAGCGCAACCCUUAUUACAGUUGCCAGCAUUA
RNAcentral lists this ribosomal RNA (1106 nucleotides) under Lactiplantibacillus plantarum. RNAcentral describes it as "bacterial SSU rRNA". It matches the Rfam family "Bacterial small subunit ribosomal RNA", at positions 54 to 1126 of the family's 1533-position model. The record is from RNAcentral. Lineage: Bacteria; Bacillati; Bacillota; Bacilli; Lactobacillales; Lactobacillaceae.